UAAUACAUAGGCUCCAAGCGUUGUUCGGAAUUACUGGGCGUAAAGCGAGUGUAGGCUGUCCGCCAAGUCGAUUGUGAAAUCUCCCGGCUCAACUGGGAGGGUGCGGUCGAAACUGGCGGACUAGAGUUCGGGAGAGGAGAGUGGAAUUCCUGGUGUAGCGGUGAAAUGCGUAGAUAUCAGGAGGAACACCGGCGGUGAAGACGGCUCUCUGGACCGAUACUGACGCUGAGACUCGAAAGCGUGGGGAGCAAACAGGAUUAGAUACCCUGGUAGUCCACGCCCUAAACGAUGCGUACUUGGUGUAGGUGCUUCAUUGCAUCUGUGCCGAAGUUAACACGAUAAGUACGCCGCCUGGGGAGUACGGUCGCAAGGCUG
RNAcentral lists this ribosomal RNA (375 nucleotides) under uncultured bacterium. RNAcentral describes it as "bacterial SSU rRNA". It matches the Rfam family "Bacterial small subunit ribosomal RNA", at positions 521 to 896 of the family's 1533-position model. The record is from RNAcentral.